RNAcentral lists this ribosomal RNA (776 nucleotides) under uncultured Haemophilus sp. RNAcentral describes it as "bacterial SSU rRNA". It matches the Rfam family "Bacterial small subunit ribosomal RNA", at positions 73 to 843 of the family's 1533-position model. Lineage: Bacteria; Pseudomonadati; Pseudomonadota; Gammaproteobacteria; Pasteurellales; Pasteurellaceae. The record is from RNAcentral.
AGAAAGCUUGCUUUCUUGCUGACGAGUGGCGGACGGGUGAGUAAUGCUUGGGAAUCUGGCUUAUGGAGGGGGAUAACGACGGGAAACUGUCGCUAAUACCGCGUAGUGUCGAGAGACGAAAGUGCGGGACUGAGAGGCCGCAUGCCAUAGGAUGAGCCCAAGUGGGAUUAGGUAGUUGGUGGGGUAAGGGCCUACCAAGCCUGCGAUCUCUAGCUGGUCUGAGAGGAUGACCAGCCACACUGGAACUGAGACACGGUCCAGACUCCUACGGGAGGCAGCAGUGGGGAAUAUUGCGCAAUGGGGGGAACCCUGACGCAGCCAUGCCGCGUGAAUGAAGAAGGCCUUCGGGUUGUAAAGUUCUUUCGGUAUUGAGGAAGGUUGAUGUGUUAAUAGCACAUCAAAUUGACGUUAAAUACAGAAGAAGCACCGGCUAACUCCGUGCCAGCAGCCGCGGUAAUACGGAGGGUGCGAGCGUUAAUCGGAAUAACUGGGCGUAAAGGGCACGCAGGCGGUUAUUUAAGUGAGGUGUGAAAGCCCCGGGCUUAACCUGGGAAUUGCAUUUCAGACUGGGUAACUAGAGUACUUUAGGGAGGGGUAGAAUUCCACGUGUAGCGGUGAAAUGCGUAGAGAUGUGGAGGAAUACCGAAGGCGAAGGCAGCCCCUUGGGAAUGUACUGACGCUCAUGUGCGAAAGCGUGGGGAGCAAANCAGGAUUAGAUACCCUGGUAGUCCACGCUGUAAACGCUGUCGAUUUGGGGGUUGGGGUUUAACUCUGGC